RNAcentral lists this ribosomal RNA (596 nucleotides) under Bulbothrix scortella. RNAcentral describes it as "eukaryotic LSU rRNA". The stretch from base 228 to 381 matches the Rfam family "5.8S ribosomal RNA". Lineage: Eukaryota; Fungi; Ascomycota; Lecanoromycetes; Lecanorales; Parmeliaceae. The record is from RNAcentral.
UCCUGGUCCCCUUUGAGGAAGUAAAAGUUGUAACNAGGUUUNCGUAGGUGAACCUGCGGAAGGAUCAUUAUCGAGAGGGGGGCUCCGCGCCCCCGGAGGCUCCGGCCUCUGACUCCACACCCUCUGUAUAUACACUAUAUACCGUUGCUUUGGCGGGCGCUGGCCCGCCGGAGACCGAUCAACAUCCGAUUUAUUGGUGCCGUCCGAGUGAAAUCACAAUCGUUAAAAACUUUCAACAACGGAUCUCUUGGUUCCAGCAACGAUGAAGAACGCAGCGAAAUGCGAUACGUAAUGUGAAUUGCAGAAUUCAGUGAAUCAUCGAAUCUUUGAACGCAUAUUGCGCCCCUCGGCAUUCCGGGGGGCAUGCCUGUUCGAGCGUCAUUUCACCCCUCAAGCUCAGCUUGGUCUUGGGCGCUCGCCGUCUACGGCGUGCCCGAAAAUCAUAGGCGGUCCAGGGUGGCUUCCGGCGCAUUAAAAUAAUCAACGCCCGCGAAGACCCCCCCGUGGCUGGCCGAUCAACUCCCAUAGCGGACUUUAGUAAUUGACCUCGGAUCAGGUAGGGAUACCCGCUGAACUUAAGCAUAUCUAAGGCGGGA